Long non-coding RNA from Cynara cardunculus var. scolymus (artichoke), 630 nucleotides. RefSeq lists it as uncharacterized. The record is from RefSeq and is a predicted model, not a curated record. The transcript has 2 exons. NCBI's taxonomy places the organism in Eukaryota, Viridiplantae, Streptophyta, Magnoliopsida, Asterales, Asteraceae.
GCAUCAGUCGACACAGCGACUGAUUGUAUGAUUCAGCAAACGCUCGGGCAACACUUUAGCGACUCUACUGUGAUAAUGAUCGCCCAUCGUAUCACCUCUGUGCUUGAUAGCGACAUGGUUUUGGUUUUAGAACAAGGUCUGAUCGAUGAAUAUGAUUCUCCAACAAAGUUGCUGGAAGAUCAAUCAUCUUCAUUCGCAAAGCUCGUUGCUGAGUAUAGUAUCAGAUCGAAUUCCAGUUUUGAAAACUUAGCAGCAACAUAAUAUUUUGGUGGUAAUGGUGAGUGAAUAAGCCCUUUCUACCAUUAAGCUCGAUAAGACGCAAAUAAAAGCCCCUAACCCGACUUAAACUGUGGGUGGGUCUGAUUUUCUUCGGCUUGAGGAGCUUGGUGCACCAUGGUCACCCUUGAUGGAUCAAACAAAUUUGAUAUAUGGGUUUUAAACAUUAUGUAACAAAAUAAAAAUUACUGAGGCUGUUGGACUAUGUUAUGUUAUACGACUAUUCUGUAUGUAUUGUGUAGGGGUUAGUUUUGUCAUUUCACUGUUUAGUAUGCAUUAGGUGUUGGCUUUAAAAUGGUUUCAGCUUCUGUGUAUGUUGCUGUUUGUUUUGUACAAUCUUUUGGGAUGUGAUCA